UACGGGGGGGGCAAGCGUUGUUCGGAAUUACUGGGCGUAAAGGGCGCGUAGGCGGCUCUUCAAGUCAGCCGUGAAAUCUCCAGGCUUAACCUGGAAGGGUCGGUUGAUACUGUCGAGCUAGAGUGUGGAAGAGGCAACUGGAAUUCCGUGUGUAGCGGUGAAAUGCGUAGAUAUACGGAGGAACACCUGCGGCGAAGGCGGGUUGCUGGGCCAACACUGACGCUGAGGCGCGACAGCAUGGGGAGCAAACAGG
Molecule: ribosomal RNA, 253 nt
Filed under: uncultured bacterium
Lineage: Bacteria
Description: partial 16S ribosomal RNA
Rfam family: Bacterial small subunit ribosomal RNA
Source: RNAcentral